This 255-nucleotide ribosomal RNA is filed under the name uncultured bacterium. RNAcentral's name for it is "partial 16S ribosomal RNA". It matches the Rfam family "Bacterial small subunit ribosomal RNA", at positions 524 to 776 of the family's 1533-position model. The record is from RNAcentral.
UACGUAGGGUGCAAGCGUUAAUCGGAAUUACUGGGCGUAAAGCGUGCGCAGGCGGUUUUGUAAGUCUGUCGUGAAAUCCCCGGGCUCAACCUGGGAAUUGCGAUGGAGACUGCAAGGCUAGAAUCUGGCAGAGGGGGGUAGAAUUCCACGUGUGAGCAGUGAAAUGCGUAGAGAUGUGGAGGAACACCGAUGGCGAAGGCAGCCCCCCUGGGUCAAGAUUGACGCUCAUGCACGAAAGCGUGGGGAGCAAACAGG